RNAcentral lists this transfer RNA (65 nucleotides) under Hydrometra greeni. Its description in RNAcentral is "tRNA-Val". Lineage: Eukaryota; Metazoa; Arthropoda; Insecta; Hemiptera; Hydrometridae. The record is from RNAcentral.
CAAACUAUACUAAUAUAUUCGUUUUUUACAAUAAUGAAUAAUUUGUGUGAUUCAAUUUAGUUUGA